CUCGGGAUAGAGCAGUUUUGUAGCUCGCAAGGCUCAUAACCUUGAGGUCACGGGUUCAAAUCCUGUCUCCGCAA
Molecule: transfer RNA, 74 nt
Filed under: Nicotiana sylvestris (wood tobacco)
Lineage: Eukaryota; Viridiplantae; Streptophyta; Magnoliopsida; Solanales; Solanaceae
Also listed under: 1 other name
Rfam family: tRNA
About the family: Transfer RNA (tRNA) molecules are approximately 80 nucleotides in length. Their secondary structure includes four short double-helical elements and three loops (D, anti-codon, and T loops). Further hydrogen bonds mediate the characteristic L-shaped molecular structure. tRNAs have two regions of fundamental functional importance: the anti-codon, which is responsible for specific mRNA codon recognition, and the 3' end, to which the tRNAs corresponding amino acid is attached (by aminoacyl-tRNA synthetases). tRNAs cope with the degeneracy of the genetic code in two manners: having more than one tRNA (with a specific anti-codon) for a particular amino acid; and 'wobble' base-pairing, i.e. permitting non-standard base-pairing at the 3rd anti-codon position.
Source: Rfam by way of RNAcentral